AAGGGUAGUGGGUUAACAGGUAAAAAAACAUUCAUUAUGUAAAGCCAGUUAACAAGGUGAAAAAGCAUUCAUUAUGCAAAGUUAGUUAAACAGGGUUAAGAACAUUCAUCAUGAAACACCAGAAGGCUUAAUCUCCACUAUUUGACACUCGCUGAUUGCAAUGGUCACCCAAUCAAUAUAGAUGUUGCCUUAUUUGGAUGCUGCUCCGUGUAAGUGACUAUACAAUUCAUUAAGAAUCUAUUGUUCAAGAGAAGACCACAAACUCAUGUCCCUGUGUACAUGGGUGAUUGUUCUCUCUCCCUGCAGGGCCUGGAACAAAGAGCCUACCAAAGAGUACCAUCUCCAGGACGAAGCAAGAGAAGCUUACAAGUCGAGUCCAUUAGGGAUUCCCUGAGCCACGUGGAGUAGUGAAAGUCAGACUGUUGCAAGGUCAAGGCAUCUGAUGAAAUCAGAAACCAGUGGAGAAGACCUCUAAAGAACUAUGUGAAGUGUUGGAAAGUCAUUUUGUACCAAAGUCACUGAUUAUCAUGGACCCUUUCUGUUUUUACGAACGGGUACAACAGAAAGGACAGCCCAUUGCCCAAUUCAUAGCCACCUUAAAGAGGUUAGCAGAACAUUGUAAUUUCACAGCAUUCCUCCAGGAUGUCUUGCAGGACCAGUUGGUUUGUGGCCUCCAACUUGAAACCAAUGAUAGCUACUAACAAAGAGACCUGGCUUUCAAGCCAGCUGUCAAAAUCGCUACUUCAUUGGAGUCGGCAGCCAGCAAAGAAACACAGAAGCGAAACAUUCUCUCCACAUCUACUCUGUCCAAUCAAUUCAAAUGAACAGAGGUCACAGUACUGGUCUUUGGAUGUAGGUUUGCUCGCUGAGCUGGAAGGGUCAGUUUCAGACAUUUCGUAUGUAACAUCAGUGAGCCUCCGGAUGAAGCACUGGUGGCAUGGCCAGCUUUCUAUUUAUGUGUUGGCUGUUUAACAGUCCUGAGAACAUCCAUUCUUGUGCUGCCUGUGUUUUGUCAUGCCUCGAGUUCAUAAGAUUUAGACCUGGUAUUUCAUCCACUUAAGCAUAGUUCCUAAGUCAAUUGUUUUCUUUUUAUCCCAUAUAUUAUAUUCAUGCUCACACUCAAAUAAAAGUAAACAGAAUAGACACUAAGUAAAAACUGAAGCAAAGCAAUUAUGUAUUCCUUCUGCCAUUCUUUCACUGUGUUCACUUUUCUUACCCUUCACUGACAUUAUUUGUCAUUUAUGCAUUUGUGAAAUAUCACUUAUUUUCCUAUUUUUGAAAAUUAUGUUUUCUCAUAGCCUUGAGACUUUAUAAACUUUUCUCUCAAUUUCCUCCUACUUCUCUUUGUCUUCUUCUUUAAUUGUCGAGCACCUUGCAUUGA
Molecule: non-coding RNA, 1381 nt
Organism: Chiloscyllium plagiosum (whitespotted bambooshark)
Lineage: Eukaryota; Metazoa; Chordata; Chondrichthyes; Orectolobiformes; Hemiscylliidae
Source: RefSeq, a predicted model, not a curated record